RNAcentral lists this long non-coding RNA (1611 nucleotides) under Paramuricea clavata. The record is from RNAcentral. Lineage: Eukaryota; Metazoa; Cnidaria; Anthozoa; Malacalcyonacea; Plexauridae.
UUUGUUUUCAGUUACAACCCAAUACUUUAUUGCAUACAAUGGCAUUACAACGCCAAUAAACUAUUGGUUACAACGUGCGGAACGGGUGGAUAUUUUAGCUCACGAAAUGCAUGUGAACAGACUCCAUGAUGAUUGUGUAUUUUUAUAAUACAAUAUAAUGGGGAAUACAAACUUCAUUUGUGAAGCCUUUACGUCGUAAUGUCGGGAGCGAUUAUAGAAUACCCGGCCACUUUUGAAUUUUGAUAGUGUUUGCUUUUGGGGGAUACGGGGAUACGCAGUCAUUAAAAUGACGUAAUUAUUCGAGUAGUUUAAGAGGAGAAUGGGUAACUAUUAUAUUUCAAUGAUAUGGGGAUACGGGGAUACGCAGUCAUUAAAAUGACGUAAUUAUUCGAGUAGUUUAAGAGGAGAAUUGGUAACUAUUAUAUUUCAAUGAUACGGGGAUACGCAGUCAUUAAAAUGACGUAAUUAUUCGAGUAGUUUAAGAGGAGAAUGGGUAACUAUUAUAUGUCAAUGAUACGGGGAUACGGGGAUACGCAGUCAUUAAAAUGACGUAAUUAUUCGUGUAGUUUAAGAGGAGAAUUGGUAACUAUUAUAUUUCAAUGAUACGGGGAUAUGGGGUACGCAGUCAUUAAAAUGACGUAAUUAUUCGUGUAGUUUAAGAGGAGAAUUGGUAACUAUUAUAUUUCAAUGAUACGGGGAUACGCAGUCAUUAAAAUGAAGUAAUUAUUCGAGUAGUUUAAAAGGAGAAUUGGUAACUAUUAUAUUUCAAUGAUACGGGGAUACGCAGUCAUUAAAAUGACGUAAUUAUUCGAGUAGUUUAAGAGGAGAAUGGGUAACUAUUAUUUUUCAAUGAUACGGGGAUACGGGGAUACGCAGUCAUUAAAAUGACGUAAUUAUUGGAGUAGUUUAAGAGGAGAAUGGGUAACUAUUAUUUUUCAAUGAUACGGGGAUACGCAGUCAUUAAAAUGACGUAAUUAUUCGAGUAGUUUAAAAGGAGAAUGGGUAACUAUUAUUUUUCAAUGAUACGGGGAUACGGGGAUACGCAGUCAUUAAAAUGACGUAAUUAUUGGAGUAGUUUAAGAGAAGAAUGAGUAACUAUUAUUUUUCAAUGAUACGGGGAUACGGGGAUACGCAGUCAUUAAAAUGACGUAAUUAUUGGAGUAGUUUAAGAGGAGAAUGGGUAACUAUUAUUUUUCAAUGAUACGGGGAUACGGGGAUACGCAGUCAUUAAAAUGACGUAAUUAUUCGAGUAGUUUAGGAGGAGAAUGGGUAACUAUUAUUUUUCAAUGAUACGGGGAUACGGGGAUACGCAGUCAUUAAAAUGACGUAAUUAUUGGAGUAGUUUAAGAGGAGAAUGGGUAACUAUUAUUUUUCAAUGAUACGGGGAUACGGGGAUACGCAGUCAUUAAAAUGACGUAAUUAUUCGUGUAGUUUAAGAGGCGAAUUGGUAACUAUUAUAUUUCAAUGAUACGGGGAUACGGGGAUACGCAGUCAUUAAAAUGACGUAAUUAUUCGAGUAGUAAGAGGAGAAUUGGUAACUAUUAUUUUUCAAUGAUACGAGGAUACGGGGAUACGCAGUCAUUAAAAUGACGUAAUUAUUCGAGUAGUAAG